RNAcentral lists this ribosomal RNA (253 nucleotides) under uncultured bacterium. RNAcentral's name for it is "partial 16S ribosomal RNA". It matches the Rfam family "Bacterial small subunit ribosomal RNA", at positions 524 to 776 of the family's 1533-position model. The record is from RNAcentral.
UACGUAGGGAGCAAGCGUUGUCCGGAAUCAUUGGGCGUAAAGCGCGCGUAGGUGGCUUCGUAAGUCCGUUGUGAAAGUCAAAGGCUCAACCUUUGAAAGCCGAUGGAUACUGCGGAGCUAAAGUACGGAAGAGGCGAGUGGAAUUCCUGGUGUAGCGGUGGAAUGCGCAGAUAUCAGGAGGAACACCAAUAGCGAAGGCAGCUCGCUGGGACGUUACUGACACUGAGGCGCGAAAGCGUGGGGAGCGAACAGG